GAGGAACUUUUUUCGAAGCCGGUGGCGG
RNAcentral lists this small RNA (28 nucleotides) under Bombyx mori (domestic silkworm). RNAcentral's name for it is "ovarian small RNA-15880". Lineage: Eukaryota; Metazoa; Arthropoda; Insecta; Lepidoptera; Bombycidae. The record is from RNAcentral.